This is a long non-coding RNA of Sinocyclocheilus rhinocerous, 168 nucleotides long. RefSeq lists it as uncharacterized. Lineage: Eukaryota; Metazoa; Chordata; Actinopteri; Cypriniformes; Cyprinidae. The record is from RefSeq and is a predicted model, not a curated record. The transcript is spliced from 2 exons.
AGAAUAAGAAGGCCAUCGAACAUUACCUCUUUCACCGCAACAAGCCCGUGGACUAUUUCAUCCUCAUUCUGCAGGGGAAGGUGGAGGUGGAGGCAGGGAAGGAGGGAAUGAAGUUUGAAGCUGGGGCUUUCUCCUCGUAUGGGAUGAUGGCUCUCACCGCUACUCCAG